GGUGGUGGUAACACUUUAAUUAUUGAGAAAGCUGAGUUCAUGUCUCUUUCCUUCAGUUUGCAACAGUCACGUGAUUCCCAUCCCUUCUUGUUGCUUCUCAUUUUCAAGCUUCUACCAAUAUUGGCAGAUAGCGGAUUGGCACCACAAGCCACAGUUUCAGAAUCAGGUGCAAUGGAUUAUUGUUAUUCAAGGCAAAAACAUUAUUUCUUGGCAUGAAUUGAUCUGUGUUUGGAUGUGAUGAAUUUGUUUUUUAUUCUUUGUCCGUUGUUGUUGUUCUUCCCCUUUUUGGGAGUAUCUGCUGCUGCAAAUGUCUCGUCCUCAAGACCUUCUGUCGCGAACAUUGGGGCGAUCUUCACCUUCAAUUCCACAAUUGGGAGAGUGGCUAAAAUUGCCAUGGAGCAAGCAGUGAAGGAUGUCAAUGCCAACACCAGCAUCCUUCAUGGAACAAAGCUUGUCCUCCAAAUGCAAGAUUCCAAUUGUAGUGGUUUCAUGGGCAUGGUUCAAUCUUUGCGGUUCAUGGAGACUGAUGUAGCUGCUAUAAUAGGUCCCCAAUCUUCUGUUGUAGCUCACAUCAUAUCCCAUGUUGCGAAUGAGCUUCGAGUUCCUCUGGUGUCGUUUGCCGCCACAGAUCCUACUCUUACCUCCCUGCAGUUCCCAUUCUUUGUGAGGACAACACAGAGUGAUUUGUAUCAAAUGACUGCAGUUGCGGAGAUCAUAGACUAUUAUGGUUGGAAGGAGGUGAUUGCCAUCUAUUUAGAUGAUGAUUAUGGACGAAAUGGUGUUUCUGUGUUGGAUGAUCAGCUGGCUGCUCGGCGCUGCAAAAUAUCCUACAAGGCUGCAAUCAAAUCUGGAUCAGUUGACCGGGGAGAGAUCACGAAUUUGCUUGUGCAAGUGGCUCUGAUGCAAUCUCGGAUCAUUGUUCUUCAUACAAAUCCUGAUUCUGGAUUUAUGGUCUUCAAUGUGGCGCAUUAUCUUGGGAUGACAACCAAUGGCUUUGUCUGGAUAGCCACGGAUUGGCUGUCAUCUGUCUUGGAUUCUACUUCUCUACCUUCAGAAACAAUGGAUAUUCUUCAAGGAGUACUUGUUUUGCGCCAACAUACACCCGAUUCUGAUAGAAAGAAAUCAUUUAUCUCUACAUGGAACAAGUUAACUGGCGGCUCUUUGGGGCUACAUUCCUAUGGUCUCUAUGCUUAUGAUUCUGUCUUUCUGUUAGCGCACGCUCUCGAUGCAUUCUUUAGUCAGGGUGGGAUUGUUUCGUGUACCAACUACACUAGUUUGCGCGAUGAUAAGCCUGGUGGUCUUAACCUUGAUGCUAUGAGCAUUUUUGACAAUGGAACACUUCUGCUGAAGAACAUAGAGCAGAGUGAUUUUCUUGGAUUAACAGGUCAUGUGAAAUUUGCAUCAGACAGAUGCCUUGUUCGUCCUGCAUAUGAUGUUAUCAAUGUGGUUGGAACUGGCAUUCAUCGGGUAGGUUACUGGUCGAACUAUUCUGGUCUCUCAAUUGUGCCUCCAGAGACAUUGUAUGCUAAGCCGGCUAAUAAAUCAAGUGCAAACCAGCACCUUCAUAGUGUCAUAUGGCCUGGAGAUACAUUAUCAAAACCCCGUGGAUGGGUUUUCCCAAAUAAUGGAAGGCAAUUGAGAAUUGGUGUGCCUGUUCGAGUUGGUUUCCGCGAAUUUGUUUCGCCGGUGCAGGGAACUGAUAUGUUUAAAGGUUUCUCUAUUGAUGUAUUCACUGCAGCUGUGAACUUGUUACCAUAUGCUGUUCCAUACCACUUUGUCCCAUUUGGAAGUGGCCGCGAGAAUCCAAGCUACACACAACUUGUCAAUUUAAUUGCCACAGGUUACUUUGAUGGUGCUGUUGGUGACAUUGCCAUCAUCACGAAUCGGACAAAGAUUGUAGAUUUCACACAGCCAUAUGCUGCAUCUGGACUAGUUGUGGUGGCCCCUUUUAAGAAAAUCAAUUCUGGAGGAUGGUCUUUCCUUCGGCCAUUCACACCACUUAUGUGGACUGUGACUGCUUGUUUCUUCUUUUUCGUUGGAAUAGUUGUAUGGAUUCUGGAACACAGGAUCAAUGAUGAGUUCAGAGGCCCACCAAAACAACAAUUCAUAACAAUUUUAUGGUUUAGCCUUUCAACUCUCUUCUUUUCCCAUAGAGAGAAUACCAUGAGCACUCUCGGCAGAUUGGUGGUUCUGAUCUGGCUGUUUGUAGUGUUGAUCAUAAACUCCAGCUACACUGCAAGUUUAACAUCCAUACUCACUGUGCAGCAGCUAUCUUCCCCUAUCAGUGGAAUAGAUAGCUUAAAGAAUAGUAAUGAACACAUAGGAUUCCAAGUGGGUUCAUUCGCGGAGCACUAUUUGGUUGAGGACAUCGGGAUAUCCGAAAAUAGACUCGUUCGCCUAGGAUCUCCAGAAGCAUAUGCUAAGGCACUCCAACUUGGUUCUAAGAAUGGAGGUGUUGGUGCCAUUGUUGAUGAAAGACCAUAUAUUGAAAUCUUCUUAUCAACACAAUGCACAUUCAAAAUUGUAGGCCAGGAGUUCACCCGAAGUGGCUGGGGUUUUGCAUUCCCUCGCGACUCCCCAUUAGCCGUGGAUUUGUCAACUGCUAUUCUACAACUUUCGGAGACAGGGGAUCUGCAGCGGAUUCAUGAUAAGUGGAUGACAAGAAGCAGCUGUAGUUUAGAUAAUGCCGAGAUUGAUUCGGAUAGGCUUCAGUUGAAAAGCUUCUGGGGACUGUUCCUCCUUUGUGGCUUGGCUUGCUUCAUAGCUCUUGUCAUACAUUUUGUGCAAAUUAUGGUGCGGAUGUGGCAUGCACCUCCUCCUGAAGCUGCAUCUAAUGGUAGCUCCAUUUCUGGUCGUUUUCAAAGGUUUCUGUCACUGAUUGAUGAGAAGGAAGAGUCACCAAGGAGUGAGAGAAGAAAGAGGAAUGGAGAUGAAGGAUCUGCUGCUGAUCAUCAACUUGAUGGGAGGCACACAAAGAGGAUACAGUUUGAUUUAACACCCAACUCAAACAGAUAAUUGGUUGAAACAAAUCAGGUGUCAUGGAUGGUGGAAUGGAAAAUGAGUGUGUUAGUCUUUGUUUUGCUUUUUUGUGAAACACAUCACAAAAGAACAUUUUGACGCACAAUACAUUCCGCUGUACAGAUUAGAUUUAAUUUGCACAUUAUUAUUAUUAUUGAACAACUUUCUCCUAAUAGAAUCAAAGAACACUAAAUGGAUAAAAAUACAAAGAACGAGGGGAAAAGAAAAGAACAACUCAGUUAAAGAGAGCGAAACGACACCAUUUUUCUAGAAGAAGACAUGGACAAAGACGAUGAGGAGUCCCAAGAGGACGAAGAAAGGAAGACAUCGAUGAGGAUGAUGUUUUGCCAGACGGCGAAGAAAACGAGUCUUUUCCGUGUACCUCAUCCACUGCCCUUACCGUUACCAUCCCUGUUCCCUCCUUCGUCAUCUCCAACGGCAAAAAGGCUCCAAUUUCAACUGCCACCGCCAACGCGGCCACAACCGUAGUUGUUGCUGUCGAAGGCAGCUCUUCCGAUCUAAAACGAUAGCAGCAAAUUGAGGAGAAGAAAUCUCUCGAUGAUUCAUAACUUGAGUUUCAGUUUUUGAAAUUGGUUGAAAUUUGUUUUAAAUUAAAGAUGAUUUAAAGAGCUUUAAAUUUAUAUAAAGUUUGAGAAAA
Molecule: RNA transcript, 3676 nt
Organism: Arachis stenosperma
Lineage: Eukaryota; Viridiplantae; Streptophyta; Magnoliopsida; Fabales; Fabaceae
Gene name: glutamate receptor 3.3
Exons: 9
Source: RefSeq, a predicted model, not a curated record